UACGAAGGGGGCUAGCGUUGUUCGGAAUUACUGGGCGUAAAGCGCACGUAGGCGGAUAUUUAAGUCAGGGGUGAAAUCCCGGGGCUCAACCCCGGAACUGCCUUUGAUACUGGGUAUCUAGAGUCCGGAAGAGGUGAGUGGAAUUCCGAGUGUAGAGGUGAAAUUCGUAGAUAUUCGGAGGAACACCAGUGGCGAAGGCGGCUCACUGGUCCGGUACUGACGCUGAGACGCGAAAGCGUGGGGAGCGAACCGG
RNAcentral lists this ribosomal RNA (253 nucleotides) under uncultured bacterium. Its description in RNAcentral is "partial 16S ribosomal RNA". It matches the Rfam family "Bacterial small subunit ribosomal RNA", at positions 524 to 776 of the family's 1533-position model. The record is from RNAcentral.